AUGACGCUGAGGCUGCCUGACAUUUUUAUGAACAUGCUGAUGGGUGAAGAUCCGCCAAAUAAUGUGAAGCUGCGACAGGCCGGCAGCGGGUUUCGCAGGCAGUGGGAUGUGCAGUUGGCGAUCAAGAAGGGCCACAUGUACUUGUCUUGUGGGUGGGAGAAGUUCUACCGUGCCUACGACCUGCAGCUGGGGUACUUCCUUGUCUUCGGGUACGACGACGACGCCAACAUGCUCAUCGUGAAGGUGUACAACAAGACUAUGUGUCGCAUGCGCUACGCUGCCGAUGAUGAUGCCGGUAGGAGCAGCAGCAGCGACACUGGCUACAGCCAAAGCAGUAGCGACUAUGGCUGUAGCGAAAGCAGCAGCGAUUCUGGCUGUAGCGAAAGCAGCAGCGAUUCUGGCACCAGCAUAGACAACAAGAAGGAUGAUCCGGACUGGAGUGCGGGAGAAGAGGAGCAGAGUGAGGAUGAGGAGCUGCAUGAUGACGAUGGGCAUCAGGCUGAGGAUGACCUAGCGCUGGUGGUGGCUGACCAAGGGCAAGAGAUGGUGGUGGCUGACCAUGGGUAG
Molecule: ribosomal RNA, 567 nt
Filed under: Triticum aestivum (bread wheat)
Lineage: Eukaryota; Viridiplantae; Streptophyta; Magnoliopsida; Poales; Poaceae
Description: partial small subunit ribosomal RNA
Source: RNAcentral